This 253-nucleotide unclassified non-coding RNA is filed under the name plant metagenome. RNAcentral describes it as "partial contains small subunit ribosomal RNA and internal transcribed spacer 1". The stretch from base 1 to 46 matches the Rfam family "Eukaryotic small subunit ribosomal RNA", at positions 1786 to 1831 of the family's 1831-position model. The record is from RNAcentral.
AAGUCGUAACAAGGUUUCCGUAGGUGAACCUGCGGAAGGAUCAUUACGCAUAGGGACUGGCAGCCGAGUCCCCACCUAGCGAAAAUUAGGUGGGUAAGGUGCGCCAGCAACCCCCGCCGCAUAGCUAUGACUGGCCGCCCGGCCACCUGCCCUUUGAGCACCAUUUCGUUUCCUCGGCGGGCUUGCCCGCCACUGGGGACCCUCAAAACCUUUUGUAAUGAGAAGUAACAGUAUCAUAAAAAAUUUAUCACAA